RNAcentral lists this ribosomal RNA (494 nucleotides) under uncultured bacterium. RNAcentral describes it as "partial 16S ribosomal RNA". It matches the Rfam family "Bacterial small subunit ribosomal RNA", at positions 28 to 507 of the family's 1533-position model. The record is from RNAcentral.
GACGAACGCUGGCGGCGUGCUUAACACAUGCAAGUCGAACGGAAAGGCCUGCUUUCCCUUGUGGAUUGCGGGUACUCGAGUGGCGAACGGGUGAGUAACACGUGAGUGAUCUGCCCCCAACUUGGGUAUAAGCCUGGGAAACUGGGUCUAAUUCCCGAUAGGACUGCAGGGUGGUGCCUGUGGUGGAAAACGAUUUUCUAGUGGUUGGGGAUGAGCUCGCGGCCUAUCAGCUUGUUGGUGGGGUAAUGGCCUACCAAGGCGGCGACGGGUAGCCGGACUGAGAGGGUGGACGGCCACAUUGGGACUGAGAUACGGCCCAGACUACUACGGGAGGCAGCAGUGGGGAAUAUUGCACAAUGGGCGGAAGCCUGAUGCAGCGACGCCGCGUGGGGGAUGACGGCCUUCGGGUUGUAAACUCCUUUCGACCGCGAGGAAGCCACCUGGUUGGAAGGGUGGUGACGGUAGUGGUAGAAGAAGCACCGGCUAACUACGUG